RNAcentral lists this ribosomal RNA (459 nucleotides) under uncultured bacterium. Its description in RNAcentral is "partial 16S ribosomal RNA". It matches the Rfam family "Bacterial small subunit ribosomal RNA", at positions 338 to 795 of the family's 1533-position model. The record is from RNAcentral.
CCUACGGGCGGCAGCAGUGAGGAAUAUUGGUCAAUGGCCGGGAGGCUGAACCAGCCAAGUCGCGUGAGGGAAGAAGGCCCUGCGGAUUGUAAACCUCUUUUGUCAGGGAGCAAGGUGCAGGUCGGGACCUGCUGUGAGAGUACCUGAAGAAAAAGCAUCGGCUAACUCCGUGCCAGCAGCCGCGGUAAUACGGAGGAUGCGAGCGUUAUCCGGAUUUAUUGGGUUUAAAGGGUGCGCAGGCGGAGGCACAAGUCAGCGGUAAAAGCCCGGGGCUCAACCCCGCUCCGCCGUUGAAACUGGGUCCCUUGAGUGGGAGAGGGGUAUGCGGAAUGCGUGGUGUAGCGGUGAAAUGCAUAGAUAUCGCGCAGAACUCCGAUCGCGAAGGCAGCCUACCGGCGCGAAACUGACGCUCAUGCACGAAAGCGUGGGUAUCGAACAGGAUUAGAUACCCGGGUAGUC